Molecule: long non-coding RNA, 2611 nt
Organism: Prinia subflava (tawny-flanked prinia)
Lineage: Eukaryota; Metazoa; Chordata; Aves; Passeriformes; Cisticolidae
Exons: 3
Source: RefSeq, a predicted model, not a curated record
GUUAAAGAUUCCGCAGCCUUUGUAGCGUGCGGGGCGCGGGGAUUGGUCCCGAACCGGCCCCGGUAGCGGCCGGGGCUCCGCGGUGCUGGCUGCACGGCGGGCGCUCGGCUGUCCUGCCGGCAGUCGACUCCGCAACCCCCGGUCCCGCAGCCCAGCCCCGCAACCAGGUGCUCUCGGGGCACCGCUGCACACAGCCGGCCUUGCUGCCUCUGUUCGCUGCUGCAGACCAAGUUGGAUUUCCUGUGGUGCCAAGGAAAUGUCUGCCUUGGAGUGCUGUUGGUGAUGGGAAAUUGGGGACACUACUCCAGCUGUCUGACUGGAGAGUUCACAGCUGCUGGACUGGGAAAGACCAUUCAGUUCCAAGCCCCUGCCAUGGACACCUUCCACUGGACCAGGUUGCUCCAAGCCCCAUCCAACAUGGCCAACAAGAGAAGCAGCACUCCUGCGGUGUCACCGCUUUUGGGGACAGCUCAGCUGGAGCAGCCUGGAGCUGGAGCAAGGACAUCGAUGGCACUCUGGUCCUGUGUUUGCACCCAUUUUCCCCCUGAUUCUGCCCAUGCAAAAGAGAUUUGGGAGGACCUUGGGAAGGUGUUUUAGUGAGAAAUGUUUAAGCCCUGCCAUGUGCUGCACCCUCUGCCCUGACCCUUAGUGAGCCCCAGCCCCACCAACAAGUUGCAAUGGAAACAAAGGCAGUUCUUGCUUCAGAUUCUUCAGAGAUAAUAAUAUGUCAGGAGCCCCUGGAGAGGCUGAAAGUAAAUGAAUCAGGGCUAGAAAGUGAAGGAUAUCAUCCGUGCUGAAUGGUGAAAAGAAGUCCUGAACAGUAUCUUCAUUGAUUUUCCUGUAAUUGACACAGAGCUCAGCUCGUCGGAGGCUGUGGCAGGAAUGGGGAGGCCCAGGUACCAUUCCUGCCUCAAUUAGGUAGCUCGGGGCUGUGGGCAGCUCCAAAGGAGCUACUGGGCUGGGAGCCCAUGUUUUCACUGCUCACAGAGUGCUCUGCAAGCUGCCUUGAGGACAAGGGGCAGCUUGGAAGGACAUGUCCCAGGCUGCCAGCAGCUUCUCACCAGCCCUGGGAUAGCCCCAGGUGCACCAAGCCCUCAGCUGGUGAGAAACACCAGCUCUAAAGUCGGGAAAAUCCAGCAGUGGCAGGAAAUCUGGUUAGCUGAGAUCUGAGGCUCUCCAAGGAGAAAUGUGCCUUCUGUGUGAAACCUCUCAGCUGGGCAGUGGGACAGACCCAGCUCUCAGGGCACCCAUGGAUACCCUGUCCUGGGGCAGAGCCACCCGGGCAGCAGGGGUGGCACUGAGGAGAGAGGGGUCCCAUCGAGGAGAAGCAUGGCCGCACCACAUGAAAGGAACCAGGAGCAUCGAUCCACUUUACAGCCCAGCAGAGGAACCACCUCUCAGGUUGGGCAUGCACUUAGGAAAGGUUCCCACUUUUUGAUUUAUUUAUGCAAAAGGUACACGGUCUUUAUAACAGUACAGGAAACUUGUGCUUUGAAGAUUUGCCCCCACUGAAAUCCACUUUUUCCAGGCUAUCUUUGCGAUUUCCCUCCUUCCUUUGAAGUUGGUGUUUGGGGUCUCCAAACAUAAGGGGGUCUCUAUCUGCCUCACAGCACUCCAGGUGGUUUUAAAGUCUCUUUAAAACCAAGUGCUUGUCAGCCUGCUGGGCUGUGAAGUUCCAUGAAUUUAUUACCACCAGCAUUCUCCCUCCUCGGCUGUGUUUAGCCGCCAAGGCUGCUGGAUUACAGCAGCUCCGCUUGGACUGCAAAGGUAUUCCCGGGAGAAGGGUGUGAGGAGCGAGCUCCUGCAGCUCCUGGGACACCCUGCUGGGCUAAGGAACCCUCACAUCCCAGCCCUUAAGGUAGUGGGAGCAGCCACAGAGGCAGGAGCCAGCGGCAAACAGGGGUCACAGUGGGGACACUGCUGUGGGUGCUUGGGGCCAGACGGGACCCCAGUGGGACCAGUGGGGGCUGGGCAGGAUUCAGGCUGGAACCAGGUGGGAUCCCAAUGGGACCCAUGCACCACCAGGUCUGACCAUAGUGGGACCCUGGGAGGAGCCAGGAAGGGUCUGCAUGGAACCCUGGCCGUCCCCCAGAAGGACCUUGUCCGCCUGAGCCCCACGGUUUCCCUGAGUCACUUCCCACCUGGAGCACCGCGUUCCUGCUGAUGCAGCGCCAGGGUCACUAAAUGCUUUGUUGAACACCUGCCCGCGUGUGCCUAAGUGCUUUCAGCCUGGGUGGUUGCUGAAUCGGGUUUCCUGGGACAAUUAUUUUGAACAUAAGUACCCAAAGUCUGCUCGAGUCGUUUUCUAAGUGCUUAUGUUAUUUUGUUUUAAAAACCUGGCAUUGCAUCUCUAUCCCUGUGGUUAGAGCCAUCCCAGAGAUGUACUUAUUUUAAUUAUAUUUAGAAAAAUGCUUGCUGGGCACAACAGUUGCGUCUCUCCACCUGACUCUAAAACGUGCAGUGUUUUCUCAUACUUGGCUGUGAAGCUCCUUUUAACAGAAAAGGAGACAGAGCAAUGCCCUGGAGAUCAGGAUGUUGGUCACCCCCAGGCUGAGAUAGCAGCAGGAACAGCUGGAUAAUUUCAGCAUGAGGACAUUGUCACAGCUGCAUG